GUGUUUGUGUCAGCAGCACAUAUACUAAAAUUGGAAUGAUACAGAGAAGAUUAGCAUGGCCCCUGUGUAAGGAUGACAUGGAAAUUCAUGAAGCAUUCCACAUUAAA
This is a small nuclear RNA of Echinops telfairi (small Madagascar hedgehog), 107 nucleotides long. The record is from RefSeq and is a predicted model, not a curated record. Lineage: Eukaryota; Metazoa; Chordata; Mammalia; Afrosoricida; Tenrecidae.